This 468-nucleotide ribosomal RNA is filed under the name uncultured bacterium. Its description in RNAcentral is "partial 16S ribosomal RNA". It matches the Rfam family "Bacterial small subunit ribosomal RNA", at positions 28 to 507 of the family's 1533-position model. The record is from RNAcentral.
GACGAACGCUGGCGGCGUGCUUAACACAUGCAAGUCGAACGGAAAGGCCCUGCUUUUGUGGGGUGCUCGAGUGGCGAACGGGUGAGUAACACGUGAGUAACCUGCCCUUGACUUUGGGAUAACUUCAGGAAACUGGGGCUAAUACCGGAUAGGAGCUCCUGCUGCAUGGUGGGGGUUGGAAAGUUUCGGCGGUUGGGGAUGGAUUCGCGGCUUAUCAGCUGGUUGGUGGGGUAGUGGCUUCCCAAGGGUUUGACGGGUAGCCGGCCUGAGAGGGGGGACGGCGACAUUGGGACUGAGAGACGGCGCAGACUGCUACGUGAGGCAGCAGUCGGGAAUAUUGCACAAUGGGCGGGAGCCUGAUGCAGCAACGCCGCGUGCGGGAUGACGGCCCUCGGGUUGUAAACCGCUUUCGACUGUGAUGAAGCGUGAGUGACGGUAAUGGGUAAAGAAGCACCGGCUAACUACGUG